Molecule: unclassified non-coding RNA, 2167 nt
Filed under: Owenia fusiformis
Lineage: Eukaryota; Metazoa; Annelida; Polychaeta; Sabellida; Oweniidae
Description: misc RNA OFUS_LOCUS4590
Source: RNAcentral
GAUUGGGUCACGUGAGUACACGGAAGUCGGGGUUUCCAACAAAUUUUCAAACUUUUAUCUUUACUUGUAUUUUUAUCAUUUGAUGGUCCAUCUAGAUGAUUUUAAGGAUUUAGUUUCUGCUGAUAUAACUGAAAGAGCACGCUGAAUUCCAUCAGUGACAAUUUGAUUUUAAAGAUACAUUAUGGGAUUUCUCGGUAAUCUCUGAUGUAACAUCAUCCGGAGUGGCGUCAUAUUCUCAGAAAAGACAUUUGACUUGGCUUUAAAAGUUGAAAACCCAUGAUCUAAUAAAAUGAUGGCCACUGGAAGUCCACCAGACGAAACUAUCGAUUGGCAGGAAGCGGGCUUAAAUAUACAAGGAGAUCAGUCUCUACCAAACAUGGCUGGUAUCAAAUCCUCGGAGCGAUCGCCUCUUCUUGGGGCUCCGGCAUCCAAUCAGAAUGCAGACUAUAAUGGUAACCCUGCUUCAGAAGAUAAUGAUGACACUCUCAUUGACUUCAUGCAAAUAAAUCGUCACCAAGCGAUGAUGCAUUUAUUGAAAGGCAACAUUGGAACUGGGAUCAUGGCAAUGCCGUCUGCCAUUGCAAAUGCAGGAUUAUGGGUGGGGAGUAUAGGUUUAGCUAUUAUAAGUGUCAUCACAAUACAUUGUAUGCAUCUACUUGUCAACUGUGCCCAUCAUCACAGAGUGACUAAUAAAGUACCUAGGGGCCAAAGCAGGCAACUUGACUAUGGGGCAUGUGGUGAGAUAGCCUUACGUCAUGGGCCAAUAGUCUGGCUUAGAAAUCACGCACAAAUAGGAAGAAUAACCGUGAAUGUUUUUCUCAGCAUCACACAAUUUGGCUUCUGCUGUGUGUACAUACUCUUUAUUGCAAAGAAUGUUAAAGAUGUGUUUGACUAUGCGUUCGCUUAUGAGCUUCCAGUACUCGCAUACCAGGCCAUAGUAACAGUUUUCUUACUACCAUAUUGUUGUAUACGACAAAUGCGACACUUAGCAUAUUUCUCUACAAUAGCAAAUGUCUUAACAAUAGCAGGACUUUCCAUCACAUUUUGGUACUGUUUUACACACUUAAAGCAUAUUGACAAAUACCCAGCCUUUAACUCAUGGGGAACUCUGCCACUCUACUUCGGGACUGCCAUGUAUGCUUUUGAAGGAAUAGGAGUGAUCCUACCGAUUGAGAACAAAAUGGCCGUUCCUGACUAUCUACGUGGUUGUAAUGGAGUUCUGAAUGUUGGCAUGGUGAUUGUUACAUGCCUAUAUAUAUCACUUGGUUUCUAUGGUUACCUGACAUUUGGACCUGAAGCAUGUGAUGUAUUGGGAAGUAUAACCUUGAACCUUCCUUCUAAAAAUUGGUUGUAUUUGGCUGUUCGUCUGAAGUUUUCCAUAGCAAUCUUUAUAUCCUAUGGAUUGCAAUUUUACGUCCCGUUAGAGUUCAUGUGGCCACCUAUUAAUGAGAAAUAUGGCGAUCACUAUCCAUGGUUGAGAAAGUAUGGGGAAUAUAUAUUAAGAUGUCUACUAGUCUUAUUAACAUUUGGAAUAUCAGCUUCUAUACCCCACCUGGACUUACUUAUAGCAUUAGUAGGGGCCUUAGCCAGUAGUGCGCUUGCACUCAUCAUUCCCCCAAUGUUGGAGUUAUUCACUCGCUGGGAUGGAGAAUUAGGACGUUACAACUGGGUGCUAUGGAAAGAUGUCGCUAUUAUCAUUUUUGGACUAAUUGGAUUCGUAGCGGGAACUGCAGUGUCAUUAAUGUCAAUUAUACAAAAGUUUUAAAACUUUUUAAACACUACAUAUAUGUGUACUGUAGCUAUAUGCUGAUAUUCCGGUUUUCAAUUGAUCAAAUAUUGUUCUGCUCCGUAACCAUUAGGCUAACCAUUAAACGCUCCUAUUACAAGUUUUCAUUUUUGUGGAUAAUGCUAUUAAUGGAGCUAAAAUGUUGGACCAGUAGGACUAAAAAGUAGGAGUGGUUUCAGCUUAAUUGGGGGAUAGAGUUGUCACAUGGUAUUUAUUCUGCUAUUGAUAUGUUUCUGUUGUCUUGUUUUAGUGUUAAGUUUAUAUUUUACUGAAAAUGUAUUUGAUGGUUAAAGGAAAUACUGUAAAUUACUUUAAUUUGACAGCCGUUUUAAUUUGGCUGAUUUUGCAUAUUGAUAAAAACUGCCAAAUUAAUAUAAGUCU